GAGUUUUGAUCCUGGCUCAGGAUGAACGCUAGCUACAGGCUUAACACAUGCAAGUCGAGGGGAGACGACAUCGAAAGCUUGCUUUUUGAUGGGCGUCGACCGGCGCACGGGUGAGUAACGCGUAUCCAACCUGCCCACCACUUGGGGAUAACCUUGCGAAAGUAAGACUAAUACCCAAUGAUAUCUCUAGAAGACAUCUGAAAGAGAUUAAAGAUUUAUCGGUGAUGGAUGGGGAUGCGUCUGAUUAGCUUGUUGGCGGGGUAACGGCCCACCAAGGCAACGAUCAGUAGGGGUUCUGAGAGGAAGGUCCCCCACAUUGGAACUGAGACACGGUCCAAACUCCUACGGGAGGCGCA
Molecule: ribosomal RNA, 356 nt
Filed under: uncultured bacterium
Lineage: Bacteria
Description: bacterial SSU rRNA
Rfam family: Bacterial small subunit ribosomal RNA
Source: RNAcentral